Molecule: ribosomal RNA, 253 nt
Filed under: uncultured bacterium
Lineage: Bacteria
Description: partial 16S ribosomal RNA
Rfam family: Bacterial small subunit ribosomal RNA
Source: RNAcentral
UACGAAGGGGGCUAGCGUUGUUCGGAAUCAUUGGGCGUAAAGCGCGUGUAGGCGGCUCGAUAAGUCUGCUGUGAAAGUCCAGGGCUCAACCCUGGGAUGCCGGUGGAUACUGUCGAGCUCGAGUCCGGAAGAGGCGAGUGGAAUUCCUGGUGUAGCGGUGAAAUGCGCAGAUAUCAGGAGGAACACCAAUGGCGAAGGCAGCUCGCUGGGACGUGACUGACGCUGAGACGCGAAAGUGUGGGGAGCGAACAGG